AGACUAUAAAUGCUGGUAUCUAUUCCACCCUCUGCAAACUUGGGCUAAUCCAUUGGCUCACAGAGUACCCAACGAUUCAGUUCUGGACCUUGUGCAAAGGAAGUCUGGACAUUAUUACUACUCUGAACUCCUCUUUUGUCCAUGGGAAGAUGGUGGUGUCACCGUAAAGAGAUAGUGGAUGAAAAAAUGAAGUGCGAGGGGAGCAAAAGCGAGAACGAACUCUCUCCCUGAUGAGUUUCCGAUGACAGAGGGCUCAGAAGAGACGGCAGAAAUCCCGCUGCGUUUGCACCGUGCCAGCCUGGAAACCUGGUUGAAAAAUGUUGUCAAAUAGUAUAUAAUGGAUCAUGUUCCAUUUCUUUUCCUUUCAAAGCCUCCGUAAGCAGGAACUUCACAGAGCUGCUGGAGGAGAGCGUGUGCCCUCAGCUGCGAGCUCUUACUGUCCUGAUAACCUUUUAUCCCUUUGGCUCAUAGAAAGCGAUUCCCACCUUUCAGUUAUUUUCACCUGAACGGUGCUUUUCUCUAAGAUGCAGCAUCUCUUUUCUUAUUUGGAAACGGAGCCAUUUGCUUGCCAAGGGACACCCUUAUAUCAUUGGGAAAAUAAAUUUGAUUGACUUCUUGGUGUCUUUUAGAUCAUUGAUCUCAAUUCAGUUGAUAGAUGCCUUCCUCAGCUUUUGGAGUUUUUUCCCCUUCUUUUGCCUUUCAUAUGAACAUCUCAAGUGGUUUGUCAACUCUGUUUACCUUUUCCUGUGUGAUUUGCUGAAAUUUAUAACAGGAACUAAUUAGAACAAAUAAAAGUUAAGCAAGAACGUG
Long non-coding RNA from Columba livia (rock pigeon), 810 nucleotides. RefSeq lists it as uncharacterized. NCBI's taxonomy places the organism in Eukaryota, Metazoa, Chordata, Aves, Columbiformes, Columbidae. The record is from RefSeq and is a predicted model, not a curated record. The transcript is spliced from 3 exons.